UCCCAAGUGGACUAGUGGUUAUAGGAUUCGGCGCUCUCAUCACCGCGGCUCGGGUUCAGAUUCCCGGCGUGAGAA
Desmophyllum pertusum is the source of this 75-nucleotide non-coding RNA. The record is from the annotation of a GenBank genome assembly. Lineage: Eukaryota; Metazoa; Cnidaria; Anthozoa; Scleractinia; Caryophylliidae.